RNAcentral lists this ribosomal RNA (253 nucleotides) under uncultured bacterium. Its description in RNAcentral is "partial 16S ribosomal RNA". It matches the Rfam family "Bacterial small subunit ribosomal RNA", at positions 524 to 776 of the family's 1533-position model. The record is from RNAcentral.
UACGUAGGGUGCAAGCGUUGUCCGGAAUUGUUGGGCGUAAAGAGCUCGUAGGCGGUUCGUCGCGUCGGCUGUGAAAUCCCGAGGCUCAACCUCGGGUCUGCAGUCGAUACGGGCGGACUGGAGUACUGCAGGGGAGACUGGAAUUCCUGGUGUAGCGGUGAAAUGCGCAGAUAUCAGGAGGAACACCGGUGGCGAAGGCGGGUCUCUGGGCGGUUACUGACGCUGAGGAGCGAAAGCGUGGGGAGCGAACAGG